RNAcentral lists this long non-coding RNA (1426 nucleotides) under Anas platyrhynchos platyrhynchos (common mallard). RNAcentral's name for it is "lncRNA (ENSAPLG00000024103.1)". Lineage: Eukaryota; Metazoa; Chordata; Aves; Anseriformes; Anatidae. The record is from RNAcentral.
CAAAAAUAUACCUGAAUGAUGAGCAGCUGAAGAAGUUUUGCCAGUACUGAAACUGAGUUAUCUCUGCCUUGAAUAAUUUUUAAUGUUUGACUCUGCAGAGAUGCAGACAUGGAAUGAAAGGACUGGAUUCCUCAGUCUCCUAAAUUGGACCGGCUGUUGAAUUGUCUCUUUUCCUGUAAAUGGAAUCCUGUAAAUCUUCGGCCAGAAAUGUCUCUUCUAUACUGUAUCCUACGGAUUGUUGCUGAACAUUUCAAGCCAUGCCUGCAAACCUGGUGCCUCCCCUCAGAACUGACAGCGGUUGAAAAGUCCAGGUGUACCUGGACAGAACUACGUGUUCCAAAGAAGAUGAGCUUUGUCAGAGGGGCUGUUCUGGCUAUGAGGAUCACUGUACCUCUCAAAUACAUCCAGUGUCAUGUACUUCUAUGAAUUCUUCACCUGGAGCAAGGACCAUGGGAGGCUGUGUGGGAAUUUACACUUAUCCAGCUGUCUAGUGAUGUCAGUGCACUCAUUUUUCUCUGUAAGGUUUUAUGGGGCUUGGCAGAUCUCUACUCAAAGUGGAAACUACAUGGCAUAGGAGCCACAAAAUAGAGGAGUAUACAACAGGAGACAAAGAGAUGAGAAAACUGCUUUUAAUCUUUUCAUGCUAAGGUAAAUUACCAGCUGAACCAAACACUCAUUUGAUCUACUUUAGUUCUUGUAAUGCUGUAUGAAAUGGGUGAGCUGGGUGAAUGCAAACUCCUCGCUAAAGAUAGCACAGAGGCACAAUUGCCACUGCUGGCAGAAAGGCAGAGGAUUCGAACUUUAACAGAGGAACACGCUUGAAUUUGGAUUUUAAAAUGGGCUAGGAUCUGUCAGAAGAACUUGUCUCCCUUCUCUUUAGAAAUCCUCAGAAGUAUUACUUGUCUUCCAUCUCUUCAUAAAUCCUCAGAAUUAGGUCUCUUGAAUGUAUAAACUUCGGAAUUUUGUCAUUGGGGUGUCCUGGUUUCAGUUAGAACAGAAUUAAUUUUCUUCCUAGUAGCUGAUGGAAUGCUGUGUUUUGGCUUAGGAUGAGAAGAGUGCUGAUAACACCCCGAUGUUUUAAUUGUUGCAGAGCAGUGCUUAUACCAAGCCAAGGACAUCUCAGCCUUUUGCUCUGUCCUGCCAACGGGCAGGCUGGGGGUGCAGUAAGAGCUUGGAGGGGACAGACCCAGGACAGGUGACCCAAACUAGCCAAAGGGGUAUUCCAUACCAUCUGACAUCAUGCUAAACAAUAUAUAGGGGUGGCUAGCCGGGGGGAGGGGGCCGGACUGCUCGGAGUUAGGCUGGGCAUCGGUCAGCGGGUGGUGAGCAAUUGCAUUGUGCAUCACUUGUUUGUACAUAUUAGUAGUAGUAGUACUAUUAUCAUUGUAUUAUUAUUAUUAUUAUUGUUAUUGUUAUUAUUAUUUUU